This 253-nucleotide ribosomal RNA is filed under the name uncultured bacterium. RNAcentral's name for it is "partial 16S ribosomal RNA". It matches the Rfam family "Bacterial small subunit ribosomal RNA", at positions 524 to 776 of the family's 1533-position model. The record is from RNAcentral.
UACGUAGGGGGCAAGCGUUAUCCGGAUUUACUGGGUGUAAAGGGAGCGUAGACAGCGAUGCAAGCCAGAUGUGAAAGCCCGGGGCUCAACCCCGGGACUGCAUUUGGACCUGUAUAGCUAGAGUGUCGGAGAGGCAGGCGGAAUUCCUAGUGUAGCGGUGAAAUGCGUAGAUAUUAGGAGGAACACCAGUGGCGAAGGCGGCCUGCUGGACGAUGACUGACGUUGAGGCUCGAAAGCGUGGGGAGCAAACAGG